GGGCCUGUGGCGAAAUUGGCAGACGCGCUGGAUUUAGGUUCCAGUGGGGCAACCCGUGGGGGUUCAAAUCCCCCCCGGCCCACCA
Molecule: transfer RNA, 85 nt
Filed under: Alphaproteobacteria bacterium
Lineage: Bacteria; Pseudomonadati; Pseudomonadota; Alphaproteobacteria
Description: tRNA-Leu
Rfam family: tRNA
About the family: Transfer RNA (tRNA) molecules are approximately 80 nucleotides in length.
Source: RNAcentral